Molecule: long non-coding RNA, 662 nt
Organism: Penaeus monodon (black tiger shrimp)
Lineage: Eukaryota; Metazoa; Arthropoda; Malacostraca; Decapoda; Penaeidae
Exons: 2
Source: RefSeq, a predicted model, not a curated record
CACGCACGCCAACGCUGCGACGUCGCAGGCCCUCUGGGUGAUCCGGGGCAGCUCCUUCCUGAGCGGCGAAGGCGGAGUGGCGCAGAAGCACAACUCCCGUACCUACGAAACUACUUACGCUGUUGUUCAGUGCUUCCCUUUCGCCACCUACCUAUCAGCUCUCAAUAUCACUAAGAUUGACUUGCUAUCGCUGGACGUGGAGGGCGCCGAGGAGAAGAUCCUGGCCACCGUCCCCUGGGAGGACGUCCGGGUGUCCGUCCUUCUGCUGGAACACUACGGGAGCAGCAAGGGAAAGGACCAGCGAUACGUGGACAGAAUAGAAGCCUACGGGUUUCGGCUCUAUGACUACCAUGUCGACAAAGACAAUAUUGGGGAUUACAUUUUCGUAAAAAAAUGAUUUCCUGUUACUAGAUAUGUAAAUAUAAUCAUGGCAAUACUUAUAUAAAGGGGGUAGGAAUAAGAUAUCAACAGCACCAUCAUGAUAAUUAGUUUUUAUUAUUGAUGCCAGUAUUAUCCUCGUGAAUAUUUGUUAAGAAUCCUUCGCCGUGAUAACAUUAUCAUUAUCAGCAGUGAUUACUUACUUUACAUAAUAUGAUGUAGCUGUUACUUCAGUGUGCAUAAACGUUCAUUACAGUAUUGUAAAUACAUCUUCCGGAGUGACA